UCUGGUUGAUCCUGCCAGUAGUUAUAUGCUUGUCUCAAAGAUUAAGCCAUGCAUGUGUAAGCACAUGCCUUUAAACGGUAAAGCCGCGAAUGGCUCGGUAUAACAGCUGCAGUUUAUUAGACCAUAGUUUUCUACUUGGAUAACUGUGGCAAUUCUAGAGCUAAUACAUGCACGAAAGCUCGGACCCUCGCGGAAAGAGCGCAUUUAUUAGACCAAAACCAAUCGGGCGCUUCGGCGCUUGGUUUUUGGUGACUCUGAAUAACUUAGUUGAUCGCACAGUCUUAGUACUGGCGACGUAUCUUUCAAAUGUCUGCCUUAUCAACUUUCGAUGGUAGGUUAUACGCCUACCAUGGUGAUAACGGGUAACGGAGAAUUAGGGUUCGACUCCGGAGAGGGAGCCUGAGAAACGGCUACCACAUCCAAGGAAGGCAGCAGGCGCGCAAAUUACCCAAUCUCAGAACGAGGAGGUAGUGACGAAAAAUAACAAAACAGUCCACUUUGUGGCCUGUUAUCGGAAUGGGUACAAUUUAAAUCUUUUAACGAGGAUCUAUUAGAGGGCAAGUCUGGUGCCAGCAGCCGCGGUAAUUCCAGCUCUAAUAGCGUAUAUUAAAGUUGUUGUGGUUAAAACGCCCGUAGUUGGUUUUUCGGUCUCGAAGCUCGGUAGCUCGUAUGGGCUUAACUGAGUCUUCCGGCCUAAAUUUCUUGUACUCUCCCGAUGCUCUUUAUUGAGUGUCUCGAGAUGCUAGAACGUUUACUUUGAAAAAAUUAGAGUGCUAAAAGCAGGCUAUACGCUUGAAUAAAGUGCAUGGAAUAAUGGAAUAGGACUUUAGUUUUAUUUUGUUGGUUUUCGAAAUUAAAGUAAUGAUUAAGAGGAACAGACGGGGGCAUUCGUAUUGUUGCGUUAGAGGUGAAAUUCUUGGAUCGCAGCAAGACGAACAACUGCGAAAGCAUUUGCCAAGAAUGUUUUCAUUAAUCAAGGACGAUAGUUAGAGGUUCGAAGGCGAUCAGAUACCGCCCUAGUUCUAACCGUAAACUAUGCCAACUAGCGAUCCGUCGGUGUUAAAUAUUGACUCGACGGGCAGCUUCCGGGAAACCAAAGUUUAUAGGUUCCGGGGGAAGUAUGGUUGCAAAGCUUAAACUUAAAGGAAUUGACGGAAGGGCACCACCAGGAGUGGAGCCUGCGGCUUAAUUUGACCCAACACGGGGAAACUCACCCGGCCAGGACACAAUAAGGAUUGACAGAUUGAUAGCUCUUUCUUGAUUUUGUGGGUGGUGGUGCAUGGCCGUUCUUAGUUGGUGGAGCGAUUUGUCUGGUUAAUUCCGAUAACGAACGAGACUCUAGCCUAUUAAAUAGACGAUAUAUCUCAA
RNAcentral lists this ribosomal RNA (1368 nucleotides) under metagenome. RNAcentral describes it as "SSU rRNA". It matches the Rfam family "Eukaryotic small subunit ribosomal RNA", at positions 1 to 1372 of the family's 1831-position model. The record is from RNAcentral.